RNAcentral lists this ribosomal RNA (253 nucleotides) under uncultured bacterium. RNAcentral's name for it is "partial 16S ribosomal RNA". It matches the Rfam family "Bacterial small subunit ribosomal RNA", at positions 524 to 776 of the family's 1533-position model. The record is from RNAcentral.
UACGGAGGGUGCAAGCGUUGUUCGGAAUCACUGGGCGUAAAGGGCGUGUAGGCGGUCUGCUAAGUCUGAUGUGAAAUCCCCCCGCUCAACGAGGGAACUGCGUCGGAAACUGGCAGACUUGAGUACCGGAGAGGAAGGUGGAAUUCCCGGUGUAGCGGUGAAAUGCGUAGAUAUCAGGAGGAACACCAGUGGCGAAGGCGGCCCUCUGGACGGAUACUGACGCUGAGACGCGAAAGCGUGGGGAGCAAACAGG